GCUUGCUAGAAGAUGGCGACCGGCGCACGGGUGAGUAACGCGUAUGCAACCUACCUUAUACUGGGGGAUAGCCCAGAGAAAUCUGGAUUAAUACCGCAUAACAAUGUUUUAUCGCAUGGUAAAAUAUUUAAAACUCCGGUGGUAUAAGAUGGGCAUGCGUAGCAUUAGUUAGUUGGUGAGGUAAUGGCUUACCAAGACAAUGAUGCUUAGGGGGUCUGAGAGGAUAGUCCCCCACACUGGUACUGAGACACGGACCAGACUCCUACGGGAGGCAGCAGUGAGGAAUAUUGGUCAAUGGGCGCAAGCCUGAACCAGCCAUGUCGCGUGCAGGAUGACGGCCCUAUGGGUUGUAAACUGCUUUUUUACAGGAAUAAUUGUCGCUACGUGUAGUGAUUUGAAUGUACUGUAUGAAUAAGGAUCGGCUAACUCCGUGCCAGCAGCCGCGGUAAUACGGAGGAUUCGAGCGUUAUCCGGAUUUAUUGGGUUUAAAGGGUCCGUAGGCGGUUCUUUAAGUCAGUGGUGAAAUCCCAGAGCUCAACUCUGGAACUGCCAUUGAAACUG
This 561-nucleotide ribosomal RNA is filed under the name Marinifilum sp. BS4 S1-7. RNAcentral's name for it is "bacterial SSU rRNA". It matches the Rfam family "Bacterial small subunit ribosomal RNA", at positions 76 to 635 of the family's 1533-position model. The record is from RNAcentral. Lineage: Bacteria; Pseudomonadati; Bacteroidota; Bacteroidia; Marinilabiliales; Marinifilaceae.